AUAGACUUUAUUUUUUACUUUCCCUCCCUUCCUCUGAUCUCGUCAAAUUCUUCUUGUUCAACUUGAUCCACCCGAACUAUCAACAGUUCCCCAAACUCCAGAUAUGUUCUGGGCCUCAGCUUUUCCUGGUUUCUUUGACUUUAAGAAGACGUCUCUUCUCUUCUCCUUUACUGGCUAAUCUAGACUUUCUGAAAAGCCCAGAGACAGGACUUUCCGAUUCAUCGUCACAGGGCCUUGUGCUGGAAAGUGCUUGUGCUCAGGGUAAAUGUUUGUUGAAUGAAUGAAUGAGAGACGAUGAAAGAGAUGGGGGGAUGACCUUGUGCCCAGAGUCCACAUCCAGGGAGUGGAGGAAGAAGGGUGGCUAGGGAACAACAAUGCUGGAAAGCGGUUUGUACGUGAGCCCCAGGGUGACCGAGACACGUCACAGGCACUGGGGGAAAGAGGGCUGGUGUCUGGCCAGGUCACCAAGGAAAGUGCCUCUCCUUCUGUGGACAGGGGCCUCCUGGCUGGAGCUGGAGGGGAAGGCUUUCCAGAGGGAGGGGGUGACAUGAGUCCAGGCCCAGAGAACAGAAGGCACAAAUGGUCUGCAGGACACCGCGAGAGAACCUUUCCCCUCCACGCUCUGUGGCAGACUCUCUUCUUUGGGGAAAGCUGACCAGGAAGUGUCAACUUAUACAACAGAUCUGCAAGCUGAGACGGGAGCUGCAGCGGACAGGGCCGUGCUGUGGGCUGCAAGGGGCGCUCCCCUCAGUCUCCCUGCCUCCCUGCCUCCCUCAGGUUGGGCCUGCAGCUCAGGGGCCUUGAAGAGAGGGGUCUGGGUGAACCCAGGGCAGCAGAAAAGGCAGGAAGGAAGGCUGCAGGCCAACGGCUGACACACCAGCCCCCGGGCGCUCUGACCAAGGCUGGAGCUACGGGCUUUGAUUACAGGCAAGACCUGCUCACAGACGAGAAGUAAUCCAGCGGCUGCAUCCAGGAUGGAUGGGCGGAGAGGCUGCAGGCAGGGAGGUUUAUUGCAACAGUCCAGGGGGGGGAUGACGGCUCGCUGGCGGUAGGAAUGGAAAGGAACAGAGAGAUGUGAAAAAAGAUUGGAAAGAGGGAGAAAAAUCUGCUCGACUGAUGGCGUGUCUUGGAGUGAGGGAGAGGAAGGAGCUGGCCACGACUUGACGGAUUCACGCUCAGGCAACAGGGACUUUGGAGAGCGUGGUGCUGCCUGAACCACAGACGUCUGGAGAAACUGCUCUCGUUAAUUUAAAUGUGUCACAACCACCAUCUAUACUCUGUGCUUUGUGAACGGAGAAGACUGGGUAGGAAGCGAGGAGGCCCCUCCAAUAUACACACAAACACACACACACACCCCACACACACAUGCAAACACACAGAAACACACACAUUUUCUCUAGGGUCAAGGAGAGUUGGUGGAUGCUGGCACGUGAAAGCCAGCAUCCUACUUGGAUAAACCCUGGGCUCUGCUCUUAAAGCUCUUCUGAUGAGGAAAUUGAAACCUCAGUGAUUCGAGGUCAGUCCCUUUCACGUGCUGACCGUGGCUCCAUUAAAGACCUUUGGGGGCGCUGGAGGGCUUUCACCCCAAGCCCCAGAACCUGCUACGGCAGCCAGCAAGAGGGGAACAGUGGGCUUACCUGUUUGGGAACAAGAACCCAGAACCUUGUCACCCACUGUGGCCUAGGCCUCUGUGACAAAGAUUCAGAGACUUUUAGAUGAGAAAAAGCUUCAUUCUUCAGGAAGGCUCUUUAGAUACAGGCUUACAGCAAAGGCAAAGGAAAACGAAGCCGCGAUCCUUUUAGUGCAAUCAGAAAAAUGGUUCCAACGGCACAUUUGCUGCAGAUCCUUUCAGGGUAAAGGAAAAAUAUCGGCCUGAAUUAGGCCCUAUGAGGUGACAUGGGAAGAAUGUGCUCUCGGGAUCGGAAACAUCCAUUAUUGACUCAUCUGCCAACCUGAACACCCAGGGCACGCGCAGCCCCAGCUCUGUGCACGCUGCACCUGCAGAUCAGACCCUCCCAGGAUCACACACCGCUUGCUUCCGACAGCUCUGCGCCUCAUGGGGGGUGGUAUCUUCACCUGUGUCAUUCUCUGACACCAAGGGUCACCUCACCUUGUAAACCUGGCCAAUCUCCCUUCGAGGUAAAGCCUUGAAGGCACAACCACAGUCCUCCAUGAGCCUGGGAGUUCUGGGGAGGCUGGCAUGGGGCCCCCUGGACACAGGGGCUGGUGGAGGUCAAGGCCCCCUGGGCUCUGGGCUUUCCCGGCAACCACUCCAGUGCUGCACCCGUGGACACCAGCAAAUGGGCAGAAUCAAACGCCAGCUGCAGAGAGACACCUGGGGCUGAAAGGCUAGAGGACCAAGGACCUCCAGGGACCAUGGGGGAGGAAGCCAGUGCUUCCUGGGCCCAGAUGCUCACCAGAGAAGAGACAAACAUGGGCAAUGAUGCCAGGGCUGCUCUGACUGCUGGGACGGUGCCCACUCAGUUUGAGGCCUUUUCAGCUAUGCUAUUUAACCUCCCUGGGUCUCAGUUUCCUCAUCUGCAAAAUGGGGAAAAACAGCCCUUCAGUGAGCCCUGUAACUAAGAGUCUAGAGGGAGGGACAAGAAGUCACAAUAUGGGCCCUCCUGUUGGCCUUAAAGGAGCCAAGUGCCAUGCUACAGAGAGGGCCACAUGGCAAGACGACGAUGACCUCUAGGAGCAGAGGGCCUUGGGAUUCUAUAACCACGAGGAACUGAAUUCUUUCAACAACCACAUGAGUGUGGACAAGGAACCCAAGCUCCAGAUGCCUGGCCAGCAUCUUGAUUCUGGCCUUGUGAGCGUGUGAGCAGACACCUCAGUUCAGCCCUGACUCCUGACCUACAGACCCCGUGAGAUAAUGAAUGGAGGUGGCGGCGAGUUUGAGGGCAUUUGUUAUGUGCAACAGAAAACGAAUACGCCUUCUCAUCUCCGGAUCAUGCUUAUUCAGGGUAGGAACCACAUCUUAUUUGACCUGGUUGUCUUAACCACUGGCACCUAGUUGAAUGAAGGAAUAAAUAAGUACUCUUUUAGAAAAGCAACAGAGUGAAGUGGUUAGGUAUCUGAUUCUCGAUGACUUGGCCCUUUCACUUACUAGCUGUGUGACCUUGGGCAAGCUGCUUGACUUCUCUGGCCAUUGGUUUCCCAAGCCAUAAAAUGGGUAUACUCAGGAUCCCUACCUUACAGGGUUGCUAGGAGGAUUAAAGAACUAACUUGUAUAAAAAGCACCUAUAUAGCGCCUAUUGUGAGCCAGGAGUUCUAAGAGUUAGAUGUUACUGCUAUUUCAUGGUGAGGAGGAAGAAAGCCUGGCGGGAGCCGCAGUGUGUCAAAGAGAGAAAGGACAGGACUGGGGGCUGGGUGGCCAGGCUCAGGGCUCAGCCAUGUCACCUGAUCACGGGCAAGCCAUGGACCUCUGUGAGUCUCAGUUUUCUCAUCUCCAAAGUGGGAGUGAUGACCUUGGCCGCUUGUCUGGUUGGGAGGUUCUUGUGAGAGAAAGUUCCUGAAGGCACUUUUCAAAUUGUGAAACACUGUGUGUGUGUGUAUGUGCGUGUGUGUGUGUGUGUGUGUGUGUGUUAGCUACUGGGAAGAGAUGGUGGAAAGAACACAGGGCGAGGGGUGCCUGUUGGCAGAGCAGAGGAGGUGACAAAGGGCUGAGUUUGGAGAAGGUCUGUGGCAGAUCCGCCAGGAUCACAGCCUGAGGACCUGCUGGAUGGUGCCACGUGUCUGCACCAAGACGGUGAGAGAAUUAAGGUGAGGAGAGUCCUUGGCAUGCCCUGAACGUCUUAGGAAUUCAAAAUUGAAAAGGACCAAGAAAAACAAAUUUUCAGCUGACACGGCCAAGCACAUAAAAACAACCCUGGCUGCUAAACCCUCUGUUUUUCUUGGAACUUCCUUUCUUUUUUCUUUUUCUUUUUUUUUUUUUUAUAGGGCUGCACCUGUGGCAUAUGGAAGGUCCCAGGCUAGGGGUCCAGUUGGAGCCGUAGCCGCCAGCCUACACCAAAGCCUCAGCAACACAGGAUCCGAGCUGCGUCUGUGGCCUACACCACCGCUCACAGCAAUGCCGGAUCCUCAACUCACUGAGCAAGGGAAGGGCUCGAUCCCACAUCCUCAUGGACGCUAGUUGGGUUUGUUAACUGCUGAGCCACAACGGGAACUCCUGGAACUUCCUUUAAACGCAGCAUCUGGGCUUGAGAAGCACGUGGGUCUCAGGCUGGAUGCCUUGUGCUUGGUUCCUGUGGCAAACAGGUUCUGAGGGGAAACGCAUGUCUGAGCCUGUCCUCAGCUCACAGUGUCACCAAACAGCAAAGCUUGGAGGGACAGUGGGAGCCUCUCUCCAACCCAUUCUUACAGACAGAGACACCAAGGGCCAGAGAGUCUUGGGGCCACGUUACCAAAUGUCCUAGAUGCCACCUAACAAUCGCUCUGAGGAUUCUGCACAAAAGGGACAAUGGAGCAGAAGCACCUGGCACUGAGCCUGGACAGCAGGAGGUCCUCAAUACCCUACCUGUCCCUUCCCCACGCCGGGUUCCAUGGCUGCUUUUUCAGAUGCCCCCAAAACCUCCACUCAUCCAGGAAACAUUUACUGAGCAUCUGCUCUGAGCCAUACACACAGGGGCCUGCACAUACAAGAUGAAACUCCUGGGCUUCAGCAGCUCAGGCAGUACCGUGUCCUGGUAAAGAACAACGCUUUGGAGCUAGACUGUGCGGCUGACUCCCAGCUCCCCUGCUGUGCUUCCUGUGCCUGAGCUGCUGCAUCCAUGCAAUGGCAAUAAUAACAGAAUCCAGAUCAGAGAACUGUUUUCAGGAAUAAAGGAUGAGAUGCAUGCAUGCAAAGUGCUCAUCUGGGCUGGAGGGGACCAGAUGCUGGUGGCUUUUUGUUAUUCCUCAAGGACCCUCCAGGGGGCAGUGCACAGGAUUCUCCUUCAAGGGGAAACAAACUUCCAAACCUGAGUAAAUUCUCUUCUAAAUCCAUUGGGCGGCCCAGUGAACGGCUUCAAUACCCUCUUUCUACCCAAAGAGCAGGAAAACCAAAUACCCACAUCUCUCUCUUUCUCACAGAAAGAGCA
Molecule: long non-coding RNA, 5081 nt
Filed under: Sus scrofa (pig)
Lineage: Eukaryota; Metazoa; Chordata; Mammalia; Artiodactyla; Suidae
Description: lncRNA (ENSSSCG00005039148.1)
Source: RNAcentral